AUUGAACGCUGGCGGCAGGCCUAACACAUGCAAGUCGAACGGUAACAGGAAGAAGCUUGCUUCUUUGCUGUCGAGUGGCGGACGUGUGUGAAAUGUCGGGGAAACUGCCUGAUGGAGGGGGUUAACUACUGGAAACGGUAGCUAAUACCGCAUAAUGUCUGAAGACCAAAGAGGGAGAGCUUCGGGCCUCUUUGCAUUGGCUUUGCGCUGGUGCCGUACGGGAUUAGCUAGUGGGUAGGGUAACGGCUUACCUAGGCCACGAUGCGUAGCAGAUCUGAGAGGAUGACCAGCCACACUGGAACUGAGACACGGUCCAGACUCCUACGGGAGGCAGCAGUGGGGAAUAUUGCACAAUGGGCGCAAGCCUGAUGCAGCUAUGCCGCGUGUAUGAAGAAGGCCUUCGGAUUGUAAAGUACUUUCAGCGGGGAGGAAGGGAGUAAAGUUAAUCCCUGUGCUCAUUGACGUUACCCGCAGAAGAAGCACCGGCUAACUCCGUG
Molecule: ribosomal RNA, 497 nt
Filed under: uncultured bacterium
Lineage: Bacteria
Description: partial 16S ribosomal RNA
Rfam family: Bacterial small subunit ribosomal RNA
Source: RNAcentral